UUUUUGGUUUCCUGCGCCCUGGCUGUCCUGGACUUGCUCUGUAGACCAUAUUUUUAUUUUCCACUGUUUUGGUAUUUUAGAGACAGAGCUCGUGUACGCCAGACUCUUCUGGAACUGCAGUCCUGCUGCUCUGCCUCAUGAGAGCUGGGACUCUGGGCAUUGGCCACCACACCAGGCCUCUGAGACUUCAUCCGCAGACCCUCUGUUCCCUGGCGAUGUGUCUGCUGGAGAACCUGAAUUACCUGACAGACUCCAUCAGAGUCUGGAUUUUGCUAUUCCCUUACAGCUGUUUCUCUUUCUCCAUAAUGUCCUCUAACCUGAUCAUUCAUACAGGGCUCCUUAUAACAGUCGGGUCGUUAAUGUCCUCCACUUUGGUGGGUGGUUCUCCAGGUAACGUUACAGGUGGCUUUGUGUGCCUCUGUUAGGAGGUUUGUGACCACGGGUUGUCUCUCUUUUGACAGUGUUACUGGCCGUUGAUUAUCAUCUGGAUCCUUUGCUUCCCAGAGAUUAGCAAAACACUGACAAUCUAGUUCCGCCAUUUCUUAUUUUGUGGAAAAUUUCUAUAACAAAAAUUUUCCGCGCUUACCUAGGAAGCGCAAGGCCCUGGGUUCGGUCCCCAGCUCCGAAAAAAAGAACCAAAAAAAAAAAAAAAAAA
This 655-nucleotide long non-coding RNA is filed under the name Rattus norvegicus (Norway rat). RNAcentral's name for it is "long non-coding RNA NONRATT025971". Lineage: Eukaryota; Metazoa; Chordata; Mammalia; Rodentia; Muridae. The record is from RNAcentral.